Molecule: ribosomal RNA, 119 nt
Filed under: Choloepus hoffmanni (Hoffmann's two-fingered sloth)
Lineage: Eukaryota; Metazoa; Chordata; Mammalia; Pilosa; Megalonychidae
Source: RNAcentral
GUCUACAGCCAUACCACCCUGAACACAACUGAUCUUGUCUGAUCUUGGAAGCUAAGCAGGGUCAGACCUGGUUAGUACUUGGAUGGGAGACCACCUGGGGAUACUGGGUGCUGUGGGCU